UACGAAGGGUGCGAGCGUUAUUCGGAAUGACUGGGUGUAAAGAGCGUGGAGGCGGUUUGUUAAGUUAGUUGUUAAAUCGCCCGGCUUAACCGGGCACAUGCGAUUAAAACUGACAAGCUAGAGUGCGAGAGAGAAAGGUAGAAUUCUCGGAGUAGCGGUAAAAUGCGUAGAUCUCGAGAGGAAUACCGGUUGCGAAGGCGGCCUUUUGGCUCGUUACUGACGCUGGAGCGCGAAAGCGUGGGGAGCAAACAGGAUUAGAUACCCUGGUAGUCCACGCUGUAAACGAUGAUCACUAGAUGUGGGACUUGCUUAGCAGGUUCUGUGUCGAAGCUAACGCGUUAAGUGAUCCACCUGGGAAGUACGGUCGCAAGAUUAAA
This 377-nucleotide ribosomal RNA is filed under the name uncultured bacterium. RNAcentral describes it as "bacterial SSU rRNA". It matches the Rfam family "Bacterial small subunit ribosomal RNA", at positions 524 to 898 of the family's 1533-position model. The record is from RNAcentral.